RNAcentral lists this ribosomal RNA (250 nucleotides) under uncultured bacterium. RNAcentral describes it as "partial 16S ribosomal RNA". It matches the Rfam family "Bacterial small subunit ribosomal RNA", at positions 102 to 339 of the family's 1533-position model. The record is from RNAcentral.
ACGGGUGAGUAACACGUAGGUGACCUGCCUUUUAGAGGGGAAUAACCAGAUGAAAAUUUGGCUAAUGCCGCAUACGAAGAGCAAAGCUAAGAUUAGCUCUUGAAAGGAUGCCUCUGUAUAUGCAUCCACUAAAAGAUGGGCCUGCGGAACAUUAGCUAGUUGGUGGGGUAAAGGCCUACCAAGGCAACGAUGUUUAUCCGGUCUGAGAGGAUGAUCGGACACACUGGAACUGAGACACGGUCCAGACUCC